Molecule: unclassified non-coding RNA, 413 nt
Filed under: soil metagenome
Description: partial contains 5.8S ribosomal RNA, internal transcribed spacer 2, and large subunit ribosomal RNA
Rfam family: 5.8S ribosomal RNA (bases 1-122)
Source: RNAcentral
GAUGAAGAACGUAGCGAAAUGCGAUACUUGGUGUGAAUUGCAGAAUCCCGUGAACCAUCGAGUCUUUGAACGCAAGUUGCGCCCGAAGCCGUCAGGCCGAGGGCACGCCUGCCUGGGCGUCACACGCCGUUGCCCACCCCGCGCCCCGCACCCAACUCUUUGGGAGCGACCGCGGGGCGGGCUGAUGAUGGCCUCCCGUGCGCUCCGCCGCGCGGUUGGCCCAAAUACCGAGUCCCCGGCGACGUGCGCCACGACGAUCGGUGGUUGAGAGACCUCUGUCGCAAGUCGUGCGCGCCCGUCGCGUCACGCGGGCUCGCAUAGCGCCUCGCGCCGCACCCGGUGCGGAGCUUUCAACGCGACCCCAGGUCAGGCGGGGUUACCCGCUGAAUUUAAGCAUAUCAAUAAGCGGAGGA